UACGAAGGGGCUAGCGUUGCUCGGAAUCACUGGGCGUAAAGCGCACGUAGGCGGACUCUUAAGUCGGGGUGAAAUCCUGGAGCUCAACUCCAGAACUGCCUUCGAUACUGGGAGUCUUGAGUUCGGGAGAGGUGAGUGGAACUGCGAGUGUAGAGGUGAAAUUCGUAGAUAUUCGCAAGAACACCGGUGGCGAAGGCGGCGACCUGGUCCGAUACUGACGCUGAGGCGCGAAAGCGUGGGGAGCAAACGGG
Molecule: ribosomal RNA, 251 nt
Filed under: uncultured bacterium
Lineage: Bacteria
Description: partial 16S ribosomal RNA
Rfam family: Bacterial small subunit ribosomal RNA
Source: RNAcentral